GAUGAAGAACGCAGCGAAAUGCGAUAAGUAAUGUGAAUUGCAGAAUUCAGUGAAUCAUCGAAUCUUUGAACGCACAUUGCGCCCGCCAGUAUUCUGGCGGGCAUGCCUGUUCGAGCGUCAUUUCAACCAUCAAGCCCCAGGCUUGUGUUGGGGACCUGCGGCUGCCGCAGGCCCUGAAAACCAGUGGCGGGCUCGCUGUCACACCGGGCGUAGUAGAUUUUAUCUCGCUCAGGGCGUGCUGCGGGUUCCGGCCGUUAAAAAGCCUUUACCCAAGGUUGACCUCGGAUCAGGUAGGAAUACCCGCUGAACUUAAGCAUAUCAAUAAGCGGAGGA
This 333-nucleotide unclassified non-coding RNA is filed under the name soil metagenome. Its description in RNAcentral is "partial contains 5.8S ribosomal RNA, internal transcribed spacer 2, and large subunit ribosomal RNA". The stretch from base 1 to 120 matches the Rfam family "5.8S ribosomal RNA", at positions 35 to 154 of the family's 154-position model. The record is from RNAcentral.